RNAcentral lists this ribosomal RNA (485 nucleotides) under uncultured bacterium. Its description in RNAcentral is "partial 16S ribosomal RNA". It matches the Rfam family "Bacterial small subunit ribosomal RNA", at positions 28 to 507 of the family's 1533-position model. The record is from RNAcentral.
GAUGAACGCUAGCGACAGGCUUAACACAUGCAAGUCGAGCGGCAGCACAGGUAGCAAUACCGGGUGGCGACCGGCGCACGGGUGAGUAACCCGUAUGCAACUUACCUAUCAGAGGGGGAUAACCCGGCGAAAGUCGGACUAAUACCGCAUGAAGCAGGGGUCCCGCGUGGGGAUAUUUGCUAAAGAUUCAUCGCUGAUAGAUAGGCAUGCGUUCCAUUAGGCAGUUGGCGGGGUAACGGCACACCAAACCCACGAUGGAUAGGGGUUCUGAGAGGAAGGUACCCCAGAAUGGUACCGAGACACGGACCAAACCGGGACGGGACGGAGGAGUGAGGAAGACUAGGGGAGGGAGGAGAGUCUGACCCUGCCAAGUCGGGUGAGGGAGUAUGGUUAUAGGGAUGGUAAUCCUCUUGUGAAAGGGAAUAAAGUGCUGGACCCGUCCCGUUUUGACGGUACCCUAUGAAUAAGGACCGGCUAACUUCGUG